This 224-nucleotide unclassified non-coding RNA is filed under the name Acaulospora sp. RNAcentral's name for it is "partial contains 5.8S ribosomal RNA and internal transcribed spacer 2". The stretch from base 1 to 71 matches the Rfam family "5.8S ribosomal RNA", at positions 84 to 154 of the family's 154-position model. Lineage: Eukaryota; Fungi; Glomeromycota; Glomeromycetes; Diversisporales; Acaulosporaceae. The record is from RNAcentral.
GUGAAUCAUCAAAUUUUUGAACGCAAAUUGCACUCUUUGGUAUUCGGAAGAGUAUGCGUGUUUGAGGGUAGUAAAAAUAAAAUCGUUUUUUUAUACACGGAUCUGAGUUUUCGAAGGUGGCAUGAUUUUGGUAACUUUAAAUUCAUCUUAUCGAAAUUUUUGUUAUGAUACUUGAACUGUUUUUAUUUUUACUCUUGUGAGCUUCAUUAGUAACGAAUUAUAUG